GACAAGUUAGAUCAAGAGAGUUCUACAACAACCAACAGAUCUACUCUUCCACCAGCUAUUUCUUCAAAUAUUACUACUAGCUCAAGCUCCUCUACUGCCAGCAUCAGUCAAACCAGGAGAGAGACUGAAGAAGUAGGUAUCACAUACAGUUCCGACAAAGCUCACAAAGUGAUAACAAGAAGCACUUCCCUAAUAAAGGAUUGUGGGAUCGAUCUUCGCAAAUUAG
Molecule: long non-coding RNA, 226 nt
Organism: Amphimedon queenslandica
Lineage: Eukaryota; Metazoa; Porifera; Demospongiae; Haplosclerida; Niphatidae
Exons: 4
Source: RefSeq, a predicted model, not a curated record